RNAcentral lists this ribosomal RNA (497 nucleotides) under uncultured bacterium. Its description in RNAcentral is "partial 16S ribosomal RNA". It matches the Rfam family "Bacterial small subunit ribosomal RNA", at positions 28 to 507 of the family's 1533-position model. The record is from RNAcentral.
GAUGAACGCUGGCGGCGUGCCUAAUACAUGCAAGUCGAGCGAACAGACGAGGAGCUUGCUCCUCUGACGUUAGCGGCGCACGGGUGAGUAACACGUGGAUAACCUACCUAUAAGACUGGGAUAACUUCGGGAAACCGGCGCUAAUACCAGAUAAUCUAUUGAACCGCAUGGUUCAAUAGUGAAAGACGGUUUUGCUGUCUCUUAUAGAUGGAUCCGCGCCGCAUUAGCUAGUUGGGAAGGUAACGGCUUACCAAGGCAACGAUGCGUAGCCGACCUGAGAGGGUGAUCGGCCACACUGGAACUGAGACACGGUCCAUACUCCUACGGGAGGCAGCAGUAGGGAAUCUUCCGCAAUGGGCGAAAGCCUGACGGAGCAACGCCGCGUGAGUGAUGAAGGUCUUCGGAUCGUAAAACUCUGUUAUUAGGGAAGAACAAAUGUGUAAGUAACUAUGCACGUCUUGACGGUACCUAAUAAGAAAGCCACGGCUAACUACGUG